This 389-nucleotide ribosomal RNA is filed under the name uncultured bacterium. RNAcentral's name for it is "bacterial SSU rRNA". It matches the Rfam family "Bacterial small subunit ribosomal RNA", at positions 28 to 417 of the family's 1533-position model. The record is from RNAcentral.
GACGAACGCUGGCGGCGUGCUUAACACAUGCAAGUCGAGCGGUAAGGCCCUUUCGGGGGUACACGAGCGGCGAACGGGUGAGUAACACGUGGGUGACCUGCCUUUAGCUCUGGGAUAAGCCUGGGGAAACCGGGUCUAAUACCGGAUAUGACUCCGCGGCGCAUGUUGUGGGGUGGAAAGCCUUGUGCGGCUGGAGAUGGGCCCGCGGCCUAUCAGCUUGUUGGUGGGGUGAUGGCCUACCAAGGCGACGACGGGUAGCCGGCCUGAGAGGGCGACCGGCCACACUGGGACUGAGACACGGCCCAGACUCCUACGGGAGGCAGCAGUGGGGAAUCUUGCGCAAUGGGCGAAAGCCUGACGCAGCGACGCCGCGUGAGGGAUGACGGCCU